GCGAGAUCGAGGUGCUCCGGCUGGCGUCGGUCGGCUCCGACCCGACCGAGAUCGCGGCGGAACUGUUCCUGUCCGCCGGUACCGUGC
Molecule: transfer RNA, 87 nt
Filed under: Amycolatopsis oliviviridis
Lineage: Bacteria; Bacillati; Actinomycetota; Actinomycetes; Pseudonocardiales; Pseudonocardiaceae
Description: tRNA-Arg
Source: RNAcentral